Octopus bimaculoides (California two-spot octopus) is the source of this 73-nucleotide non-coding RNA. NCBI's taxonomy places the organism in Eukaryota, Metazoa, Mollusca, Cephalopoda, Octopoda, Octopodidae. The record is from Rfam.
GCCCGGCUAGCUCAGUUGAUAGAGCACAAGACUCUUAAUCUCGGGGUUGUGGGUUCAUGCCCCACGUUGGGCA